CUUGGUACCGUAGUAAAAGUGCUUUCCCCUUAACAGGAGACCAUUAGUUAUAAAGGCUCGAUAAUCAACCGUGUUGGACAUUGUGUGUCUUUUUGGCAGGACAGUAUCAUUGCCCAAAGCAACUUUGGACAUACACACAGCAUACACAGAUCGCCAGCUCCAUGGCCCAGCCCUACGGCGACGACGAACCAACGCGAGGUCUGCUGCUUGGACAAGCAGUACAACAACGAGCAAAAGAAGUAGUGUUUUAUUCAUCUAAAAAACAACGCGUUGCUUAACAAAUAUUACAAAAAUCUUACACAAGUUACUUACAGUGGCUUGUAGAAGAGUCCGAAUAAUAUUCUGCUGGAAUUCAUUGCCUUUUAUAUAGCAAAAGAGGCCUCAUUACCCCGAAAAUGUAUUGAAAUUAAAAGAGUUGCGUAAA
Molecule: non-coding RNA, 424 nt
Organism: Ciona intestinalis (vase tunicate)
Lineage: Eukaryota; Metazoa; Chordata; Ascidiacea; Phlebobranchia; Cionidae
Source: RefSeq, a predicted model, not a curated record